GGGUUGUGAGGUUAAGCGACUAAGCGUACACGGUGGAUGCCCUGGCAGUCAGAGGCGAUGAAGGACGUGCUAAUCUGCGAUAAGCGUCGGUGAGGUGAUAUGAACCGUUAUAACCGGCGAUUUCCGAAUGGGGAAACCCAGUGUGUUUCGACACACUAUCAUUAACUGAAUCCAUAGGUUAAUGAGGCGAACCGGGGGAACUGAAACAUCUAAGUACCCCGAGGAAAAGAAAUCAACCGAGAUUCCCCCAGUAGCGGCGAGCGAACGGGGAGCAGCCCAGAGCCUGAAUCAGUGUGUGUGUUAGUGGAAGCGUCUGGAAAGGCGCGCGAUACAGGGUGACAGCCCCGUACACAAAAAUGCACAUGCUGUGAGCUCGAUGAGUAGGGCGGGACACGUGGUAUCCUGUCUGAAUAUGGGGGGACCAUCCUCCAAGGCUAAAUACUCCUGACUGACCGAUAGUGAACCAGUACCGUGAGGGAAAGGCGAAAAGAACCCCGGCGAGGGGAGUGAAAAAGAACCUGAAACCGUGUACGUACAAGCAGUGGGAGCCUCUUUAUGGGGUGACUGCGUACCUUUUGUAUAAUGGGUCAGCGACUUAUAUUCUGUAGCAAGGUUAACCGAAUAGGGGAGCCGUAGGGAAACCGAGUCUUAACUGGGCGUUAAGUUGCAGGGUAUAGACCCGAAACCCGGUGAUCUAGCCAUGGGCAGGUUGAAGGGUGGGUAACACUAACUGGAGGACCGAACCGACUAAUGUUGAAAAAUUAGCGGAUGACUUGUGGCUGGGGGUGAAAGGCCAAUCAAACCGGGAGAUAGCUGGUUCUCCCCGAAAGCUAUUUAGGUAGCGCCUCGUGAAUUCAUCUCCGGGGGUAGAGCACUGUUUCGGCAAGGGGGUCAUCCCGACUUACCAACCCGAUGCAAACUGCGAAUACCGGAGAAUGUUAUCACGGGAGACACACGGCGGGUGCUAACGUCCGUCGUGAAGAGGGAAACAACCCAGACCGCCAGCUAAGGUCCCAAAGUCAUGGUUAAGUGGGAAACGAUGUGGGAAGGCCCAGACAGCCAGGAUGUUGGCUUAGAAGCAGCCAUCAUUUAAAGAAAGCGUAAUAGCUCACUGGUCGAGUCGGCCUGCGCGGAAGAUGUAACGGGGCUAAACCAUGCACCGAAGCUGCGGCAGCGACGCUUAUGCGUUGUUGGGUAGGGGAGCGUUCUGUAAGCCUGCGAAGGUGUGCUGUGAGGUAUGCUGGAGGUAUCAGAAGUGCGAAUGCUGACAUAAGUAACGAUAAAGCGGGUGAAAAGCCCGCUCGCCGGAAGACCAAGGGUUCCUGUCCAACGUUAAUCGGGGCAGGGUGAGUCGACCCCUAAGGCGAGGCCGAAAGGCGUAGUCGAUGGGAAACAGGUUAAUAUUCCUGUACUUGGUGUUACUGCGAAGGGGGGACGGAGAAGGCUAUGUUGGCCGGGCGACGGUUGUCCCGGUUUAAGCGUGUAGGCUGAUUUUCCAGGCAAAUCCGGAAAAUCAAGGCUGAGGCGUGAUGACGAGGCACUACGGUGCUGAAGCAACAAAUGCCCUGCUUCCAGGAAAAGCCUCUAAGCAUCAGGUAACAUCAAAUCGUACCCCAAACCGACACAGGUGGUCAGGUAGAGAAUACCAAGGCGCUUGAGAGAACUCGGGUGAAGGAACUAGGCAAAAUGGUACCGUAACUUCGGGAGAAGGCACGCUGAUAUGUAGGUGAAGCGACUUGCUCGUGGAGCUGAAAUCAGUCGAAGAUACCAGCUGGCUGCAACUGUUUAUUAAAAACACAGCACUGUGCAAACACGAAAGUGGACGUAUACGGUGUGACGCCUGCCCGGUGCCGGAAGGUUAAUUGAUGGGGUUAGCGGUAACGCGAAGCUCUUGAUCGAAGCCCCGGUAAACGGCGGCCGUAACUAUAACGGUCCUAAGGUAGCGAAAUUCCUUGUCGGGUAAGUUCCGACCUGCACGAAUGG
RNAcentral lists this ribosomal RNA (1983 nucleotides) under Phocaeicola vulgatus. RNAcentral's name for it is "Bacteroides vulgatus partial 23S ribosomal RNA". It matches the Rfam family "Bacterial large subunit ribosomal RNA", at positions 1 to 1999 of the family's 2925-position model. The record is from RNAcentral. Lineage: Bacteria; Pseudomonadati; Bacteroidota; Bacteroidia; Bacteroidales; Bacteroidaceae.